AUAUUCAAAUCAACCGAUUCUGUGCUGAUUCCAGCUGACAUAUAGAUGCGACUAUUCCUAUACGACGAUUUUAUCAAGAACUUGCGAUCGUAUGGUUAUGUAUAUAUAAGCGGUAUACAUACACUCCAUGUUGGUUUCAAAUUGACGCAGUUUAUCCAUUUUGGCCUGGCUGUCCAGAAUUGCUUUUUACCAUCACUCACGUGGUUUUGGGGUUGUUAAAGCCGGGCUUCCUCCCGAUAGCUGAGACCCGGUGUUACACAGGGGGGUUUUGCAGCAAGCAGACGUACCUGUCCCAGUGGACGGACAAAGCUGAAACCAGGCACAGGACGGCAUUCAUAUCAUAAGCCUACCUGUAGCCCCACAACCUUCGCUGUUACAAAGGUCAGUUUCAUUACAGCAGCGCUCACACGUGACAAUGUUGGACCUUACUUUCGGGACAGAUUUCUUACUGGGAGAACUGCAUACCUACCACAACAGACAUA
Magallana angulata is the source of this 482-nucleotide long non-coding RNA. RefSeq lists it as uncharacterized. The transcript is spliced from 3 exons. The record is from RefSeq and is a predicted model, not a curated record. Lineage: Eukaryota; Metazoa; Mollusca; Bivalvia; Ostreida; Ostreidae.